This 335-nucleotide ribosomal RNA is filed under the name Escherichia coli. RNAcentral describes it as "bacterial SSU rRNA". It matches the Rfam family "Bacterial small subunit ribosomal RNA", at positions 823 to 1158 of the family's 1533-position model. Lineage: Bacteria; Pseudomonadati; Pseudomonadota; Gammaproteobacteria; Enterobacterales; Enterobacteriaceae. The record is from RNAcentral.
UAGGGGUUGUCAUGACCUCUGUGCCGCCGCUAACGCAUUAAGUAUUCCGCCUGGGGAGUACGGUCGCAAGAUUAAAACUCAAAGGAAUUGACGGGGGCCCGCACAAGUAGCGGAGCAUGUGGUUUAAUUCGAAGCAACGCGAAGAACCUUACCUAGACUUGACAUCUCCUGAAUUACCAUGUAAUGUGGGAAGUCCCUUCGGGGACAGGAAGACAGGUGGUGCAUGGUUGUCGUCAGCUCGUGUCGUGAGAUGUUGGGUUAAGUCCCGCAACGAGCGCAACCCUUAUUGUUAGUUGCUACCAUUUAGUUGAGCACUCUAGCGAGACUGCCCGGGU